Molecule: long non-coding RNA, 752 nt
Organism: Culex quinquefasciatus (southern house mosquito)
Lineage: Eukaryota; Metazoa; Arthropoda; Insecta; Diptera; Culicidae
Exons: 2
Source: RefSeq, a predicted model, not a curated record
UCAUGAGUUGCAGAUCUACAGGACUGUUUCAGUUUGAGUGCGAGUAUCUGCCGCAACGCGUGAUGUCAACCCUGUGUCAGGGUGAUGCCUGAUCGACGUGUACUGAUUGUAUGGUGAUUGCACAAGGAUAGUCAGCUGACAAGCCGCACACUUGGCUUUGAUUUGAACACCACUUGGAUUAGGUCAUCUAUCAUCACUCCAACGCAAAGUAACAUAAAAAACUGAUACAGAUCUACCCGGAAACCUUCGCAAUCCAUCGUGAUCCAAUAACUUCAAGAGGUAUUCCGAAGACCUUGAUGCCCACAAAAGCUGCAAGUCAGCCGUCUGACCUGGCCAGCAAAGUCCGAGAACACUCCCCUUCUGCUACGUCACAGCCACGCAUGACGUUCUACGUCGUACCAAAAACAUCGGACCACACCACCUCGAUCGAUGAUAGUGCAAAUACUCGCGUGAUCCGGCAAGAAGGACCGCGUCUCGUUUCGCGUUGAUUGAGCCUCUCGCGUAGUUCCGUGACCUUCCACAGCAGUUGUGUGGAACCGUACGUGCGCUUGUUUUCGUCCGGACUCGCGCCUCUCUAACACCGGGGGGAUUGUCUCUCUACGAACGGCCAUCGUGGACAUCGCCUGACUUUGUUACGUUCCAAGUAAUCAGACUGUUGUUUAUACAGCUCGGGCGAUGAUGUAAAUGAAACUGUUUACUUUUUGCGCUGGCCGCUCUAAUUUUGAUAAAGAUACUACGUAGCCGGUACGUGA